CCCCCCUAGGGGGGGCCGCCGCACAGACUGGGGGGGCCUCUGCUGGAAAGCAGGUUGUGUGCUUCGGACAGCAGCCCCGGCCACCUUCUCCCAGUGACACCUGCGGGUGCUGCACCCCCAGCCCCGCACCCCUGGGUCCCCCAGUGAAAAGGGGCAGCCAUUUUCUCUUGAGUGCAAACCGGCCGCCAGGAUCCAGCCCGGCUCCGACCGGCCACCAGGUCAACCCCAGGGAAAAGGUCUGGAAAGUUUCUCAUCCCAAACCGGCCACCAGGUCAACCCCAGGGAAAAGCCCCAGGGAAAAGGUCUGGAAACUUUCUCAUUGCAAACCGGCCACCAGGUCAACCCCAGGGAAAAGGUCUGGAAAGUUUCUCAUCGCAAACCAGCCACCAGGUCAACCCCCCCCGAGGAAAAGAGCUGUCGGACCCCACCUCCCUGGCGGUGGGGAGCAGCAGUUUCGCUCAGGUCCGUUGCCCAGGGCGGACCAGGCCCGAGAGUAGAGCGAAGGCGGGAGUUCCCCUAACUGGCUCCAGCGAAAUCUGGGGGCGCCCUCCGCUGGCAGCACAGUUGAGGCCCGUCACUUUAUAACUGCUGGUCAUGAUACUCCGGCGGGUGGACCGACGGCUCCACCAUGGCCAUGAGUCACCCCUCUAAGGCCCUGGCGGGCGCAGUAGUGAGGAUUACACCGCAGGGACCGGAAUGUCAGCACGUGGGCUCUACACUCGAACACACGCGCACGCGCAGUGCGUUACCCUCGAGAGCCAACACGCAGGCUGCCGGAAGCCUACGUGCCAUUGACUGAGUCUGACCCCACGAGACCGAAGCCCCGCAGGACAGGCACAGCAACCCCACGCUGCAUCCAUGGUGGAGAAACCCCGAAGGUGUUUCCCCGACCACCUGUCCCUGCGGGAGAUUCCAGGUGGCCCUUAGCUGGUCAGCUCGGUACAGGAGUGAGGAAGGGGGGGGAAGGGGAGGUGGACGAGGAGCACUCUCGGGCCCAGAAGUAGCUCCAUCCCCUUCCUCACACCAAGCUCAGCUAGCCCGGGAUGCCGAGCCUGUCCCUGCACUGACCAGCUCGACAGCAUCAUGACAAGAACCCGCAGGCACCCGCACAAAUGAGCCAGGUGAAAAAAGGCAGCCGCCCGCUGCCCCGGGAGAAGCGGCUCGUGAGCCCCGCCCCGUGGAUGCUGUAGCUGGGUCCUGCCAUCGCAGCAAGAACGCCCACGCGUCCCAUGGCAUCGGCAGGAAACACACUAGCAGGUGAUGUGGCCGUUUGCCUGCUUGGAACUGGGCUGAGAACCUCCCCCAUCCCCAGCACCAGCCAGGGCCCUGUGUUGCUUCUUUAUCGCAGCAGGGCCUGUCAGCUCAUGUGACUGUCCAGAACCCCUGCAGGUGCUGGAAGUAAUUAUGACCACGGAUGAAACCUAUCCACUUUCCAGAGACCCAUCAGCUUGGUUGGUGAGAGCAUCCCAGGGUAGCUCUGGUAAUUCAAUCAGAGUCUGUAAUUCGCUAAUGGGCAGGAUCGAUUCUGGGCCACAGCCGAAAGGGGCUUUGUUUCCAUCGCCCCAGCCCUUUGCCAGCUGGCAAGCUGCUGCCAGUUGAGAAUGACAGAACUUCACCCCUGGCAUAUUCCUCUGUGGCAGAGCAGAGCGCGCCUUGCUGGAGCCUGUCUGGACCAUAUUCCCCAGGGCCGGGCCAGGAUCCUUCCAUACAAUCCAGGCUCCAGGCCUUUGUCCAGCCUUAAGCCUCCCAAGUGAUGGGGGACUAUUCCACAAUCUAGCACAGAGGACCCCAAACUGUGGGGUGGGCCCCCCUGGGGGGGGGCAUGGAGAAACAUUCGGAGAGCACGACGGGGUCUGGGACAGCCCCCACAGGGGGUGUGGAGGGAGCACCACCCAGCCCAGCUCUGCUCCCAGCUCUGCUCCCAGCUCUGCUGUGGCCCCAUCCAUGGCUCCCGGUCCCAUGCCCGGCCCCAUAGCCUCAGCCCCGGACCACAGCCCAGCUGUAGCUGUGCACCAGGCCCUGGCCCCGGCCCCAGUCCAGCCCCCAGUCUCAGCCUCUGGCCGCAGCUCCAUUCCCAACCCCAGUCUCAGCCCUCUUACCCCUGUCUGUGUCUCAGGGGGCUGGGGGGAGGAAGAGGGUAUUGAGAGGGGUAAGGGGGGGCAUGACCCUGAAAAGUUUGGGAACCACUGGUUUACCAGAUUUCACUGUCUGAAAUCAAAGAUGCUGUAGGCGCACUUCAGCCACUUUAGCAGAUCACUUUUCUCUGAGGUGUCUGGAGCACACGAGCCCUGAAGAAACAUGUCCUUGAGGGCAGUGGCCUUAACGGGGAGGGCUUGGAUUGAGGCAUGUUUCCAUGGGGACUGUUGUGAUAAUUGGACUGACAAAUUGACCCUAAUGGUGAGCUCAGUUGUAAAAAGUCUAUGAAAGUUCACGAGAUGUUACCAUAACCUAUAAAGGCAAGUGUUGAUGGACAGUAGGGCCAGUAGUGUUCAGUAAUGUGGAUUAUAAGCAGGUGCACAAGAACUGGCCAGAGAGACUGGAUUAGCCCAGAUCAAAGAGAGACCACAUUGUGAUAACUCAAGGACAGUGGUGUUGAAACCAUGCUGGGUAAAAAGAGAAGAUAUGGACCUGGAAAUGAAUAGACCAGCAUUGAUGUGUCGGAUAUUAGGCUUCACUGGUGGACAAAAUAAUGAGGGGCCAGGCUAUUCCACCCACCGUUCCCUUUGUGAGUCCUUCAGGAAAGAGACUUUGGGGAGAGAUUAGGGAAGAACAGAUGGAGGCUACUGGAGUGAGUGUCACCAUCAUGGCUGCCACCCCCACUGUCUCCUGGGACCCUGGGCCUUUGUCCUCCUGAUCCGGAGGGAUGUCCUGGCCAGACCGAGCCAGAGAGAGGGACCCAGAUGAUAUCACCACCUCUGCUGACUCCAGCUGAAACCCAGCCACCACCUGGGAUGAAACGGGAUCUGACUUUAACAACAGCUCCAAUCCAUCUCAACUCACUUCUCUUUCCCCUCAAGGAUGGUUAUUAGCAUCUUUGGUAAGUACUAAGAGACUGUCAGUCAAGGGGCUUUUUCCUUCUGAAAACUCCCUCCAGCUAAAGGCAAAUGGAGCAAGGGAUGGUGUUAAAAUCAAAGCCUGACUCAGUACUUUCCAUUUCAAAUGCUUUCUCUGGUUUUCUUUCUUUUCUGUAUAAUAAAAGGGCAGAAGGAUUUUUAGUAAUGUGUUUGCCCUGCUCUGAAGCAGGCUGAAGUCUGUGUACCAAACCUCAGACCUUAUUUACCACUGUUUAAUGUUGGACAGGGACUGGGUUAUAUUAACAGCUUUGGCUCAUUUAAUCCAUCUAAAUAAAUACAACAGGGCCCUCUGCUGAGAUAGUCUUGAUAUGGCCAGCCUUGGCUGAGGUGCCCUUACCCAAGGAGGUCUUAAAGGAAGACCUUUCACGGACAGGUCAGUGAAGAAAAUGUACAAUAAAGCCAACUUUAAGUAUUCUCCAUAUGAAAAAUGCUGGCACAGUUUCCUUCCAAAAC
Long non-coding RNA from Chelonia mydas (Green sea turtle), 3527 nucleotides. RefSeq lists it as uncharacterized. NCBI's taxonomy places the organism in Eukaryota, Metazoa, Chordata, Testudines, Cheloniidae. The record is from RefSeq and is a predicted model, not a curated record. The transcript has 3 exons.